Molecule: ribosomal RNA, 1419 nt
Filed under: bacterium NLAE-zl-P483
Lineage: Bacteria
Description: bacterial SSU rRNA
Rfam family: Bacterial small subunit ribosomal RNA
Source: RNAcentral
AUCNGGCUUACCAUGCAAGUCGAGGGGCAGCAUGGUCUUAGCUUGCUAAGGCCGAUGGCGACCGGCGCACGGGUGAGUAACACGUAUCCAACCUGCCGUCUACUCUUGGACAGCCUUCUGAAAGGAAGAUUAAUACAAGAUGGCAUCAUGAGUCCGCAUGUUCACAUGAUUAAAGGUAUUCCGGUAGACGAUGGGGAUGCGUUCCAUUAGAUAGUAGGCGGGGUAACGGCCCACCUAGUCUUCGAUGGAUAGGGGUUCUGAGAGGAAGGUCCCCCACAUUGGAACUGAGACACGGUCCAAACUCCUACGGGAGGCAGCAGUGAGGAAUAUUGGUCAAUGGGCGAGAGCCUGAACCAGCCAAGUAGCGUGAAGGAUGACUGCCCUAUGGGUUGUAAACUUCUUUUAUAAAGGAAUAAAGUCGGGUAUGNAUACCCGUUUGCAUGUNCUUUAUGAAUAAGGAUCGGCUAACUCCGUGCCAGCAGCCGCGGUAAUACGGAGGAUCCGAGCGUUAUCCGAAUUUAUUGGGUUUAAAGGGAGCGUAGAUGGAUGUUUAAGUCAGUUGUGAAAGUUUGCGGCUCAACCGUAAAAUUGCAGUUGAUACUGGAUAUCUUGAGUGCAGUUGAGGCAGGCGGAAUUCGUGGUGUAGCGGUGAAAUGCUUAGAUAUCACGAAGAACUCCGAUUGCGAAGGCAGCCUGCUAAGCUGCAACUGACAUUGAGGCUCGAAAGUGUGGGUAUCAAACAGGAUUAGAUACCCUGGUAGUCCACACGGUAAACGAUGAAUACUCGCUGUUUGCGAUAUACGGCAAGCGGCCAAGCGAAAGCGUUAAGUAUUCCACCUGGGGAGUACGCCGGCAACGGUGAAACUCAAAGGAAUUGACGGGGGCCCGCACAAGCGGAGGAACAUGUGGUUUAAUUCGAUGAUACGCGAGGAACCUUACCCGGGCUUAAAUUGCAGAUGAAUUACGGUGAAAGCCGUAAGCCGCAAGGCAUCUGUGAAGGUGCUGCAUGGUUGUCGUCAGCUCGUGCCGUGAGGUGUCGGCUUAAGUGCCAUAACGAGCGCAACCCUUGUUGUCAGUUACUAACAGGUUCCGCUGAGGACUCUGACAAGACUGCCAUCGUAAGAUGUGAGGAAGGUGGGGAUGACGUCAAAUCAGCACGGCCCUUACGUCCGGGGCUACACACGUGUUACAAUGGGGGGUACAGAGGGCCGCUACCACGCGAGUGGAUGCCAAUCCCAAAAACCUCUCUCAGUUCGGACUGGAGUCUGCAACCCGACUCCACGAAGCUGGAUUCGCUAGUAAUCGCGCAUCAGCCACGGCGCGGUGAAUACGUUCCCGGGCCUUGUACACACCGCCCGUCAAGCCAUGGGAGCCGGGGGUACCUGAAGUGCGUAACCGCGAGAGCGCCCNGGNAAUUNC